RNAcentral lists this small RNA (1518 nucleotides) under Rattus norvegicus (Norway rat). Its description in RNAcentral is "uncharacterized LOC102552617". Lineage: Eukaryota; Metazoa; Chordata; Mammalia; Rodentia; Muridae. The record is from RNAcentral.
CCGAGCCCCCACGUCGAUGCUGUCACACACUCCACACCCCCACCCUGUGACCGGGGCAGGAGUGGGAACGCCCGGGGUUGCAAAACAAACCGCUUAGGUGUCCUGGCAACACGGGGCACAUGCGCCUCUCCAGUAUAAGACCCACCACGAACCACCUGCCGCUACUCAGGGCAAGACUGAGACGGGGCGGAGACGGUCAUCCCUACUGAUUCUAGAGGACCAGGGUUCGAUUCCCGGCACCAACAUGGUGGAUCACAGUCAUCUGCAAUUCCAGUUCCUCAGGACCAGACGCCCUCUUCAUCCCUGCUGGGCAAGGCAUGCGUGCGAUGCAUCUCCCGAACCCCUACAUAAGUCUUUUAAAUAGAAUAGGUACCCGGACCCUGGAUUUGGGGAGAGAACAUGGUGUGUUCUCUCUCACAUUCUUUCUCGCCUCUUCAUUACUCUGAAGUCAUCGGAAAAUGUAUGUAAAUGCAUCACGUGCAUGCAGUACCCCAGGUGGUCAGAAGAGGGCGUGCGAUCUCCCGCCAUUGGAGUUACAAAUGGUUGUAAUGCCUGAAUGCCGGUGGGUGCUGGAGGGGAAGCUUCGUUGUCAGGACACCUACGCGGUUUGUUUUCCAACCCCUGACUCUGGAAAAACCAGCAUCCUAGCUACUCGGGAGGCUGAGGCAAGAGGACGGACUGGCCAAGGUCGGCUUGGAUUACACAGUUCCGGAAAAGAUGCAUAUGAUCACCCAGAAAAGCGGGCGUCCUGCUGGACUGUCCCCACGUAUGAGGCCAGCGGUUCUGAGCACGGGAUGGAAAAGGACUGGGUCAAGGUCACCACCAGUUUAUGGAAAGAAUUGCGAGAAGGAUCCACAGCCCAGCGUGUCUGCUGUGUGGCGCACAGAACUUUGUAAAAGUAAACGCCAAUACUGUAAAUAAAUAUUUACAUCUUCCGAAGGAAAACAACAAGAUAGGCUGAACAGUAAAGGCUGAAGUUAAGUAGAGGCCAAGCCAGUCGGACCGACCGGAAGAUAGGCAGCCGGCUGAAGCGGCGGGGAUGAGUAAACACAGUGCGGGGGGACAUUUAAAUGGAACCAGUUGGAAUCGUGUAAACUGGGACAGACUCCACCCGGGGCCUCCCCGGCACACAAAACCGCACGUCCAAACGAUUGGUCUUAGUCUCUUGACAAGUGCGGUUCACUCCACCGACCCCGACCCCCCAACCCCCACCCCAAGGUUGCGAGAAAGGCUGAGGUAAUCUGAAGAUUGGCUUGGAGGUGGCCCUUAAGGGUCAAAGGGAAGUGUGGCGGGUGGGCAACCAGGACGGAUCCCAGAGAGAAGCUCCGAGCCCAGGACAAAGACGACCCUGGAAGUUGCAACCACGUCCCGCUUCCUCAACAAGAUUGAAGGGGCUCUGCAGGGUCCAGACCCUGUAAGCACACUUCGCCCAGAUUUCCCACACAACUCCGGUGGAUGCCCCCAACGGUCCUCACCACCUCCGAGCGACUCUCAGGCUCUGCGAUUCUUUUUUUUUUU